CACUAGCCUAUACAAUCAUUGUUGCGGUUAAGAGGCUCGUAGUUGGAUUGAACACUUUUCUUUUAUUCAUGAUAUAUUAAGCUUCACUGCUUUUUUAUAUGUGUGGAAUUAAGAAAUUUAACCAUAGACACCUUUGGUUGAUUCUUUUGAAGCCAUGUAAUUAUUUGCUCUGAAUUAUACUAUAAAGCUUUAUAUCUCUCAUGAGUUAAUAUAACACUGCGUUUUCAACACUGUGAACAAAUCAGAGUGUAUCAAACAUGUCGUAUUUGAUUGUGCAUUGAAUGUUUCAUCAUGGAAUGUUGCACCUUCAAAUGAUCCGAAAGGAGACCGAUUUUGUCAAUUACACCUUCUGAUAACUAGUGUAUUAUUUACUCUCAUUGCUGAGGUAUAUCACUUUGUAUCUUUCCAUUGCAAUAUUCAUAGUUUCUCUCUUUCGAUCAUUUUUUGUGUCGAUGGGGAUAGUUGGAGUCAA
This 472-nucleotide ribosomal RNA is filed under the name uncultured eukaryote. RNAcentral describes it as "partial 18S ribosomal RNA". The record is from RNAcentral.